Molecule: small nuclear RNA, 107 nt
Organism: Orcinus orca (killer whale)
Lineage: Eukaryota; Metazoa; Chordata; Mammalia; Artiodactyla; Delphinidae
Source: RefSeq, a predicted model, not a curated record
GUGCUCGCUUCGGCAGCACAUAUGCCAAAACUGGAGCGACACAGAGAAGAUUAGCAUGGCCCCUGUGCAAGAAUGACAUGCAAAUUCAUGAAGCAUUCCAUAUCUUU